AAUCAACGCUGGCGGCGUGCCUAACACAUGCAAGUCGAACGCGAAAGUCCCGCAAGGGAUCAGUAGAGUGGCAAACGGGUGAGUAACACGUGGGUGACCUGCCUUCGAGUGGGGGAUAACGUCCCGAAAGGGACGCUAAUACCGCAUGACAUCCUGCUUUUGAAGAGGUGGAGAUCAAAGCCGGGGAUCCGCAAGGACCUGGCGCUUGAAGAGGGGCCCGCGCCUGAUUAGCUAGNGGUGGGGUAAUGGCUCACCAAGGCAACGAUCAGUAUCCGGCCUGAGAGGGCGGGACGGGACACACUGGGACUGAGACACGGCCCAGACUCCUACGGGAGGCAGCAGUGGGGAAUCUUGCGCAAUGGGCGAAAGCCUGACGCAGCGACGCCGCGUGAGGGA
This 396-nucleotide ribosomal RNA is filed under the name uncultured bacterium. Its description in RNAcentral is "bacterial SSU rRNA". It matches the Rfam family "Bacterial small subunit ribosomal RNA", at positions 29 to 408 of the family's 1533-position model. The record is from RNAcentral.